This 906-nucleotide ribosomal RNA is filed under the name Talaromyces coalescens. Its description in RNAcentral is "LSU rRNA". It matches the Rfam family "Eukaryotic large subunit ribosomal RNA", at positions 38 to 962 of the family's 3401-position model. Lineage: Eukaryota; Fungi; Ascomycota; Eurotiomycetes; Eurotiales; Trichocomaceae. The record is from RNAcentral.
GCAUAUCAAUAAGCGGAGGAAAAGAAACCAACAGGGAUUGCCUCAGUAACGGCGAGUGAAGCGGCAAGAGCUCAAAUUUGAAAUCUGGCCUCUUUGGGGUCCGAGUUGUAAUUUGCAGAGGAUGCUUCGGGAGUGGUCCCCAUCUAAGUGCCCUGGAACGGGACGUCAUAGAGGGUGAGAAUCCCGUAUGGGAUGGGUGGCCGCGCCCGUGUGAAGCGCCUUCGACGAGUCGAGUUGUUUGGGAAUGCAGCUCUAAGCGGGUGGUAAAUUUCAUCUAAAGCUAAAUACUGGCCGGAGACCGAUAGCGCACAAGUAGAGUGAUCGAAAGAUGAAAAGCACUUUGAAAAGAGAGUUAAAUAGCACGUGAAAUUGUUGAAAGGGAAGCGUUGUCCACCAGACUCGCCCGGGAGGGUUCAGCUGGCACUUGUGCCGGUGUACUCCCUUUCGGGCGGGCCAGCAUCGGUUUGGGCGGCCGCUAAAAGGCCUCGGGAAUGUAGCACCCUCCGGGGUGCCUUAUAGCCCGGGGUGACAUGCGACCUGCCUGGACCGAGGUUCGCGCUUCGGCGAGGAUGCUGGCGUAAUGGUGGUCAACGGCCCGUCUUGAAACACGGACCAAGGAGUCUAACAUCUAUGCGAGUGUUCGGGUGUCAAACCCGUCCGCGCAGUGAAAGCGAACGGAGGUGGGAACCCUUUGGGGUGCACCAUCGACCGAUCCUGAAGUCUUCGGAUGGAUUUGAGUAAGAGCAUAGCUGUUGGGACCCGAAAGAUGGUGAACUAUGCCUGAAUAGGGCGAAGCCAGAGGAAACUCUGGUGGAGGCUCGCAGCGGUUCUGACGUGCAAAUCGAUCGUCAAAUUUGGGUAUAGGGGCGAAAGACUAAUCGAACCAUCUGGUAGCUGGUUCCUGCG